GGCGAUGAAGAAUUAUAUUUUAUAGAAUUCUAUUGGUGUUAAGUGGUGUUUAGGCUGCUUGUUACAAUAGAGUAGCAUUUAUUAGCAUUUAGCAUUAGUCUUUAACUCUGACUGACACAGAUAAAUACCGUGGUCUUUAUCUUUAUCUGUGGGCCUCUAGAACGGUGGCCUGUGGUUCUGCCGGGUUUAUGGAGAGACUCUCCAUUCCUAAUUCCUAAUUCGUUUUUUUUUUUUAAACAAUAUUAGUGCCCUGGAAACACCUUCGAUUGGCCAAUAACUAACUAACAACUGAGGCAUUUCAGCUUGAGGAGAAGAUGGCAGUUAAGAAGACGGCGGUGAUUUAAGUCGUACUGAACGAAUCUCCAGGAUAUUGAAGCCCUCGUCUCGUCAAAUUCAAUUCUUUGCUGCUAUCUAUUUAGUGGAAACGUUACGUGAUCUCAGGAGUGAAUCAAUUGACAACUGCUAGAUAAAAAAACUUUAUGUGCCAAACAAAUAACGCUGUAUAUGUUAUUAUUGCGGAUGAGAAAGCAACAGGCUCUCCCUGUGCGGUCUCAUAACAGCCACGUAAUAUUUCUAGCUGUUUGAUGUUGCAAACCUGCAAUUAGCGGGAUCAUACUUUAAAUUCGCCCACAAAAAGGAACCCAAUGGAUUUGGUGGAUUGUUUCCUUUUUCAUAUGUGUUAU
Molecule: long non-coding RNA, 683 nt
Organism: Daphnia pulicaria
Lineage: Eukaryota; Metazoa; Arthropoda; Branchiopoda; Diplostraca; Daphniidae
Exons: 3
Source: RefSeq, a predicted model, not a curated record